This 301-nucleotide ribosomal RNA is filed under the name uncultured bacterium. RNAcentral's name for it is "partial 16S ribosomal RNA". It matches the Rfam family "Bacterial small subunit ribosomal RNA", at positions 509 to 807 of the family's 1533-position model. The record is from RNAcentral.
CAGCCGCCGCGGGAAUACAGAGGGUGCGAGCGUUAAUCGGAUUUACUGGGCGUAAAGCGUGCGUAGGCGGCUUCUUAAGUCGGAUGUGAAAUCCCUGAGCUUAACUUAGGAAUUGCAUUCGAUACUGGGAAGCUAGAGUAUGGGAGAGGAUGGUAGAAUUCCAGGUGUAGAGGUGAAAUGCGUAGAGAUCUGGAGGAAUACCGAUGGCGAAGGCAGCCAUCUGGCCUAAUACUGACGCUGAGGUACGAAAGCAUGGGGAGCAAACAGGAUUAGAUACCCCUGUAGUCCCUGUCUCUUAUAC